This 410-nucleotide long non-coding RNA is filed under the name Cyanistes caeruleus (blue tit). RNAcentral describes it as "lncRNA (ENSCCEG00000021335.1)". Lineage: Eukaryota; Metazoa; Chordata; Aves; Passeriformes; Paridae. The record is from RNAcentral.
AUGUUUGUCUUCCAGACAAAGCUGCUCUUCUUCUCCAAGCAAGAAUGCUGCAUCUGUGAGCUGCUAAACCAUGAUCUCCCACCUUUUUUUUUAAAGAGACAGGAGGAGCACACAGCAGGGACAUUGAGACCAGUGGCUCUGGAACUUGCUGCACCACAGAGUAGUAGUUUUAGAGCUUCAGACUGGGGCCACAGAGAUGAUAUCUCCAAGCAAGGAGCCAACCUGGCCUCCUUUCUGCUGUCAAUUAUUUACAUUCAGAGAGGAAGAACUGUCCUGGUGUUCUGGGCCAGGUGCUGAGCCAGGUUCGGAUUUCUGGAAGUGAGACCUCUUCCUUAAGUAACUGCAAAAAGGAACACGAACACAAAACGCAGAUCUGAUGUAAAAGAAUAAAGUUAUAAUUCCUUGAAACA